This 253-nucleotide ribosomal RNA is filed under the name uncultured bacterium. Its description in RNAcentral is "partial 16S ribosomal RNA". It matches the Rfam family "Bacterial small subunit ribosomal RNA", at positions 524 to 776 of the family's 1533-position model. The record is from RNAcentral.
AACGUAGGAGACAAACGUUAUCCGGAGUUACUGGGCGUAAAGGGCGUGUAGGUGGUUUCGUAAGUCUGGCGUGAAAUUUCUCGGCUUAACCGAGGCAGGUCGUCGGAUACUGCGAGGCUAGAGGACGGUAGAGGCGUGUGGAAUUCCGGGUGUAGUGGUGAAAUGCGUAGAGAUCCGGAGGAACACCAGUGGCGAAGGCGACACGCUGGGCCGUACCUGACACUGAGGCGCGAAAGCGUGGGGAGCGAACAGG